Molecule: ribosomal RNA, 445 nt
Filed under: uncultured bacterium
Lineage: Bacteria
Description: partial 16S ribosomal RNA
Rfam family: Bacterial small subunit ribosomal RNA
Source: RNAcentral
GUGAGGAAUAUUGGUCAAUGGACGAGAGUCUGAACCAGCCAAGUCGCGUGAAGGAAGACGGUUCUAUGAAUUGUAAACUUCUUUUGUGCAGGAAUAAAGUGGGUUACGUGUAACCUUUUGUAUGUACUGUACGAAUAAGGAUCGGCUAACUCCGUGCCAGCAGCCGCGGUAAUACGGAGGAUCCGAGCGUUAUCCGGAUUUAUUGGGUUUAAAGGGUGCGUAGGUGGAUUGAUAAGUCAGCGGUGAAAGUUUGCAGCUUAACUGUAAAAUUGCCUUUGGAACUGUCGGUCUUGAGUGCAAAUGAGGUAGGCGGAAGGUGUUGUGUAGCGGUGAAAUGCUUAGAUAUAACACAGAACUCCGAUUGCGAAGGCAGCUUACUGGGAUGCAACUGACACUGAUGCACGAAAGCGUGGGUAUCAAACAGGAUUAGAUACCCUGGUAGUCC